Molecule: small RNA, 28 nt
Filed under: Bombyx mori (domestic silkworm)
Lineage: Eukaryota; Metazoa; Arthropoda; Insecta; Lepidoptera; Bombycidae
Description: ovarian small RNA-24915
Source: RNAcentral
UCAAUUCCUUACAAGGUAUGUUUGUCCC